AUUGAACGCUGGCGGCAUGCUUUACACAUGCAAGUCGAACGGUAACAGGGUGCUUGCACCGCUGACGAGUGGCGAACGGGUGAGUAAUGCGUCGGAACGUGCCGAGUAGUGGGGGAUAACGCAGCGAAAGUUGUGCUAAUACCGCAUACGUACUGAGGUGGAAAGUGGGGGACCUUCGGGCCUCACGCUAUUCGAGCGGCCGACGUCUGAUUAGCUAGUAGGUGAGGUAAAGGCUCACCUAGGCGACGAUCAGUAGCGGGUCUGAGAGGAUGAUCCGCCACACUGGGACUGAGACACGGCCCAGACUCCUACGGAGGCAGCAGUGGGGAAUUUUGGACAAUGGGCGAAAGCCUGAUCCAGCCAUGCCGCGUGUCUGAAGAAGGCCUUCGGGUUGUAAAGGACUUUUGUCAGGGAGGAAAUCCCUAGUGCUAAUAACACUGGGGGAUGACAGUACCUGAAGAAUAAGCACCGGCUAACUACGUGCCAGCAGCCGCAGUAA
This 499-nucleotide ribosomal RNA is filed under the name uncultured bacterium. RNAcentral describes it as "partial 16S ribosomal RNA". It matches the Rfam family "Bacterial small subunit ribosomal RNA", at positions 30 to 523 of the family's 1533-position model. The record is from RNAcentral.